GGCUCCUUGUAUAAAAAUAAAUAAGGAGUCGGACCUGCCCAGUGAAUUUUUUUAACGGCCGCGGUACUCUGACCGUGCAAAGGUAGCAUAAUCAUUUGCCUUAUAAUUGAAGGCUAGUAUGAAUGGUUUGACAAGAAUAUAACUGUCUCUUUAUAAUUUUAUAGAAUUUUAUCUUAAGGUGAAGAAGCCUUAAUGAAAUUAAAAGACAAGAAGACCCUAUCGAGCUUUAAAUAACUUAAUGGAUAUAUAAUUAAUAGUAAUUUAAAAAAUCAACUAUUAAAAAUUUUGGUUGGGGCGACUGAGGAACACAAAAAGCUUCCUUUAAAAUAAUAUAGACUAUACUAGUAUUGAUCCAGAAUUUUUGAUUAAAGAAAUUAGUUACCGUAGGGAUAACAGCAUUAUCUUUUUUGAGAGCUCUUAUCGAAAAAAAGGUUUGUGACCUCGAUGUUGGACCAGAAUAUCCUAAAGAUGCAGAAGUCUUUAAGGGUUAGUCUGUUCGACUAUUAAAAUUCU
Molecule: ribosomal RNA, 513 nt
Filed under: Gemmula hindsiana
Lineage: Eukaryota; Metazoa; Mollusca; Gastropoda; Neogastropoda; Turridae
Description: partial large subunit ribosomal RNA
Rfam family: Bacterial large subunit ribosomal RNA
Source: RNAcentral